CUACGGAGGCACCAGUGGGGAAUAUUGGACAAUGGGGGAAACCCUGAUCCAGCAAUGCCGCGUGUGUGAAGAAGGCCUGCGGGUUGUAAAGCACUUUCGGUUGGGAGGACUGCUUCUAGCACUAAUAUUGUUGGAAGUUGACGUUACCUUCAGAAGAAGCACCGGCUAACUCCGUGCCAGCAGCCGCGGUAAUACGGAGGGUGUAAGCGUUAAUCGGAAUUACUGGGCGUAAAGCGCGCGUAGGCGGCUAGAUCAGUCGGGUGUGAAAGCCCCGGGCUUAACCUGGGAACUGCAUCCGAUACUGUCUAGCUCGAGUACAGGAGAGGAGAGUGGAAUUCCACAUGUAGCGGUGAAAUGCGUAGAUAUGUGGAGGAACACCAAUGGCGAAGGCAGCUCUCUGGCCUGAUACUGACGCUGAGGUGCGAAAGCGUGGGGAGCAAACAGGAUUAGAUACCCGAGUAGUC
RNAcentral lists this ribosomal RNA (464 nucleotides) under uncultured bacterium. Its description in RNAcentral is "partial 16S ribosomal RNA". It matches the Rfam family "Bacterial small subunit ribosomal RNA", at positions 339 to 795 of the family's 1533-position model. The record is from RNAcentral.